This 1232-nucleotide long non-coding RNA is filed under the name Cyanistes caeruleus (blue tit). RNAcentral's name for it is "lncRNA (ENSCCEG00000021510.1)". Lineage: Eukaryota; Metazoa; Chordata; Aves; Passeriformes; Paridae. The record is from RNAcentral.
GUCUCAUUCAGUCCUGUGAAAUGCCUGCUGCAGGGCUUCCAAAGAAAGUACUCUCUAGAAUGAGUGUUUUGCCUUCCUGAGAACCUUACUGUGCUUUAUCAAAUGAUAGUUAGAUUUCAUAUUGUUUUAAAAUAAUUUUAUAAAAAUUUACUGGCUCAAGGGCUGGCAAAUAAGAGGAUUAUGGAAAAUAGGAAAAGAAUUGCUUGUUUCACCUGAUUGCCAUGAAGUUAAAUAAACUGAAGGCAUACUAUGAAGCACCUGGAAUACAGACUCAAGGUUUUCAGCUUGAGCCCAUUAACAAUAAGACCGUGUGAAGGAUCAAAACUUGCUCUGGGGCAGCAGUUUGGAUACAAAUUACCUUAUUUCAGUAAAGAACACAACUAAUGAAAGAUGCAAGGUUAUCUGCAACAGCUUUUUUCUGGGAAAUGCUCUGUCAAUAUCACCUCACAGUGAAGAUCCCAGCAGACUUGUCUUCAAAGAAUGUGUUGUUCUUACAAAGAAGAUUUCAGCACAAAGACAAAAGUGAUCAAGGUAACCCAGCUAAAAGAAUGCACUUCGAUUUACAAUUCAAGACCAGACUCGAUCAUUUUUCCAGCACAGACCUUGAUGCCACUUUUUGGAAGCCUGCUGUGUGAACAUUUCAGAGCCCAGGAGACAGCUGUGAGCACGGAUCCACUGUCACCUAUGGAGUCACCUGCUGAGCUUUAUCCCAAAAUAAAACAUCCUACUAGGGAGCAUCAUCACCGAUGUGUAGGCAGCACUUGCCUGAUUGCUUUUCACUAUUUCUAGUGUUUUGUUAUCAUUUUCAUUUGGGAGAGUGCUUGGAGCAGUUCCGGUGGUACAGGAGGAGGCGCAGGAGCGAGACCAUCCCUCCAGAGUAAUCCCUGCUGCUUGCUGAAUAGAUACCUGAAGGCAACAUCACUUGGCUAUUUCUGGCCUGCAGUAGAUUGCUACUUGCAAACCUUUUUAUGCUGUUAUUCAUCUCCUGAGCCAUCUGGCCCCUGUUGCAGGAUACCUGCAGAUGGAUUAAUAGACCAAUCUAAUAGAGCUGUACAUAUUAAAUAUACAGCAGAAGCAGCUGUUGGGUGUUUGUUGUGAGCUUUCUAUUUUUCCCUGAUGUUUCAGCCACUGUAAUUUAAAGUUCUAAGUCAGUUCUUCAAGGAAAGGAACUGUUUUUACCUCAACUAUCCAAAAACCAAAAUAAAUUUAUCUCUCAUAAAAGAAGCCUGUCA